RNAcentral lists this ribosomal RNA (389 nucleotides) under Paracoccus zeaxanthinifaciens. RNAcentral's name for it is "bacterial SSU rRNA". It matches the Rfam family "Bacterial small subunit ribosomal RNA", at positions 30 to 448 of the family's 1533-position model. Lineage: Bacteria; Pseudomonadati; Pseudomonadota; Alphaproteobacteria; Rhodobacterales; Paracoccaceae. The record is from RNAcentral.
CGAACGCUGGCGGCAGGCUUAACACAUGCAAGUCGAGCGAGGUUUUCGGACCUAGCGGCGGACGGGUGAGUAACGCGUGGGAACGUACCCUUUGCUACGGAAUAGUCCCGGGAAACUGGGUUUAAUACCGUAUGUGCCCUACGGGGGAAAGAUUUAUCGGCAAAGGAUCGGCCCGCGUUGGAUUAGGUAGUUGGUGGGGUAAUGGCCUACCAAGCCGACGAUCCAUAGCUGGUUUGAGAGGAUGACAGCCACACUGGGACUGAGACACGGCCCAGACUCCUACGGGAGGCAGCAGUGGGGAAUCUUAGACAAUGGGGGCAACCCUGAUCUAGCCAUGCCGCGUGAUCGAUGAAGGCCUUAGGGUUGUAAAGAUCUUUCAGCGGGGAAGA